CAGAGGGUAGUUUAAUUUAGAAUCUUAG
This 28-nucleotide transfer RNA is filed under the name Salvelinus alpinus (Arctic char). RNAcentral describes it as "partial tRNA-Pro". The record is from RNAcentral. Lineage: Eukaryota; Metazoa; Chordata; Actinopteri; Salmoniformes; Salmonidae. RNAcentral also lists the same sequence under 1 other name.